UUUUCUUCCCAAUAUGAGCCCUUCAAUAAUAGGUUCCAAGGAAUAAGAUAAUGUGAUGUUUUCAGUACUGCACUCACCAUAUUGGUAUUUUGGAUCUUUUGGUUUGUAAAAUAGUAACAGCCUCAAUCUUUUCUAGCCCACAUGUGAAAAAAAUGCUCAGUAGUUUCUUGUGCUUGCUGCUAUUUAAUGACAAGCUUGACUAAGACAACACCACACUGAGAACUAUUUCUUUGAGGAGGGUGGCAUGUUGCUGGCCAUCUCCCUGCACCAGUUUACUGUGGGACCAGACACGAACCACAAGUAGCACAAGGGAGAUUACAUGCAAGAGGACACUUCUUUUCAUGGCAGCUGGUUAUUUUAUCAGCCUUACUGCAAUUUGAAGCCACAGCCCUCAGACACAGUAGAACCAGUGUUGUCCCAAGUGCAGCAGUAGAGGUUUCCUGUGAGCAACAGAGAUGGUGGGACAGUCAUCUGCCUGUGUGGAAGAGGAGGGCAAAAGAAACGUAUGAGUAUUCUUGUCACAGUUGUAUAGACCAUGUUCAUUGAACAAAGUGGACUCGUAGCUCAGAAGACCAAGUAUUAAUUAUGUAAAUAAGGAAGAAGUGGUGCACUGUCAAUGUGUAAUUUUCGUGGCUGUUCUUUUUUCUAUAUCCUUUCUGUCUUCUCUGUCUUUUGUAUUUCUGUCAGGACAUUGUAAAUCUCCCAGAUUAUUAAUGUGUUCCGUAACUUCCCCCAUCAGAAGAAUUCAGCAUCUCAAUCCUCAAUUAUGGUCUCUUUUGCAUUCUUUCUUUUAAAGCAGAUAUUGAAUUACUGCUGCUCCUGGCAGGUCUUUAGCUUGUUUGGAGACUGUCUGUGCUGUUGUAUAUGCAUUAAUCAUUUCUAUCACUAGUAGAUUCUCCAGGACUAUGCUUCAGGUACUUCUUCAGAAGGGUUUAUCAAAACCAGCUUCCAGGUCAUAAACUUAUUUUUCAGUGUUUGUAUAACUAAUUGCACAGAGGAGAUUAUGCAACUAGCAUGUUGAAAACACCCAUGUGAAAUGGUGUUUAUGAAAAUUUUCUAAUCAAAAUGUGAGAACUGUUAUGAAGUUUGGCAGUGUUGCUUUAUACAUUUUGAAGCUGAAUGUUAAAAAGAUGUGAUAUCUGAUCUGGACAAAUUGGCAUGAGUUAUGAGUUUUUACAACACAGCAGUAUCACCUGAACUGAAAUAGAGGCUGCUGUUCAAAUGCAAAACCUAACCUGAAGUCUCUGCUCAUUUAAAAUAGAAUACUAUUGAAGUCAAAGAAUAUUAUUCAGCUGAAUAAAAUUCCUGGGUCAGGAUUUUAUUUACAUGUAUGAAUAUAUGUAAAAACAAGAAUUUGCAUUUCCAGGAUCAUUCAGUUGUUGUUCUCAGACAGUGGUGGUAUCUUACCUUUCAUUGUGCUAGCUAAUUUCUUUAGUGUGGAGCUCCCAGCAAGAAAGACCUAACUUGGCCAAGCAAUGUGCUUAUUUUGCAGAAGCCUGUGAAGAAGGUGGUUCCUGCAGGCAGCGAGCUGUGCACUCUCCCCAGGCUUCUGCUGUGACUAGCUCUGGAGGAGUUUCUCCACUUGCUGGAAAGCAAACACCAGGAGACUUUUAGUAGGAAAAAUAAAGGCAUCUCUGCUUGUGUGAACGCUCACCCAUGAGCACAACAGAGCAACACAUGUGAAGCACACAAUUUGUUUCUCUACUUUUCUCACAGUGAUUCAUACUGUCACCUUUUUCAGUGUAUUGAUCUGCUUUUCUGUAAACAGUGACCCCUUGUGAAGGGGUAAAUUCAGCUUGGAAGUAAUGUCUAGUAAUGUCUAGUUCAAGGCUCACUCAGCUGAGGAAAAGGAUAUUUUAAAAAGCAGGCUUUGAAUAAUGCUUUAUUCAUUACACUAAAUAGCUUAUUCAUUUACUAAUCUGACCACUUCUGACUACUGCUCGCUCAUUGUAUUCUCUCUGAGUCGUGAAGGAAGAAAAUAGAGACAAGUAGACUGUGUUGUCUGUGCCCAGCAAUUAUGUGCACAUCAGUGGUGGCAGGACCAGUGGAAGUUCAAAUCCUUCUCUGAUGUAUUCCAUUAAUUCAAGUAACUGCUUUGUAUGAAAAUGCACAUAGGGCAGCACUUAGCACACAUAGUUCAGAGCCAGGAAGGCUGAGGCAUUCAGCUGUAGAUGUACUCAGUUACUUGCUGCCAUCACCUUUCCUCCCACAAAAUCCAAACUACUCAUGGAUCCAGAUUGCUGCUUUUUUCUGGAACAAUGACAUGUCACCAAGAUCUUUUCAGUGGCAAGAAUAGCUUUUGUUUGCUGUUGAUUCUUUCAAGAAUCUCUUUUUACAACAAAAAACAAAUGCUUCAUUUUCCUUCAGAAGAGAAAAUUGUGUGGAGGAGGAGAACUUACGUAAGAAGCAGUGCUGCUCCAAAAAUGUCAAACACACAUUUGUUCUUCAGAACAAAAAUUGGAAUUUUCUGUUUUAUUCUCCUGGUAAACCACCAGAUACAGUAUUUUAAUUAGAAGUAAGUAACUUUAGAUGACCAAGAUAGAAACUGGACCAUGCAACAGGGGUUCUUCCAGGAGAGACGUCACUUUCAAAGUCCAUUAAGACCACCAUGAAAACCUCUGUGGCCAUUUCAGUGACUUGCUUUGUCACCAAAUCUGCUCACUUCUUAAACUAGCUAGCCAGUUCAAUCAUUGCUUCAUUUUGGAAUGGGAAAAUAUUUAACAACAAAACUGGGGAAUAAUACUUAAUUUUAAAAAGUCUAUAAACACCAGUACAUAUGAAAGUGUAUGACUACUGAUGAACAAAGCUUAUAUGUCCAAGAAAACAAGGAACAAAGAAAACAAAGAUUUAACAUACUGUUCCUGCUUUGCCAUGUAGAUCUUGUGCUGCAAAUUUGGAAUUAUGGAAUUGAGAUGAUUGUAGAGUUUGUAUGAUCUGCAGUUCAAGGUUCUUCUUCAAGGAAUAAUUCUAAGAAGAUAUUAAUAAAAUUGGAAGAAAUUACCAGGGUAAGCUGCAGAGAACAAAGAGAAGUUCUCCAUUAAGACCAGAAACUUGGCCCACAGGAUUUAGGAUGGAUAAACCUUACACAGAAGAGCUGUCAUUUUUGCAUUUCACCAAAAAGGUAUCAUAAGGAGAUCAAACUGUAUUUGCACCUGCAGUGCAGUCGGGACAGCAAAGUGAGCAGCUGAGGGCAGGCAUUCCCCCUUCAGAAGGCAGACAAUUGUGGAUGGUAAUCCCCUGAACUGUCACUGUAGGGUUUGAUAAAGCUUAUAAAGCUUCUCUGGCAGAGCCCUUCAUGCUCUACCACCUUAAAAGGUAACUAAGAAGUGUUAAUAGUGUUUAUAUAAGUCAAAGUCUCUGCUGGUGCCAUGAGCAUUUUGUUAUGCACAAGAAAUGCAUUAAUGUUUCUGUCUAGAACCACAAACAAAAUUCUGUACUGACCAGGAGGAAAGUUUUGUAAUCUGUUUGGAUAAUAUCCCCUUAAUUAGAAUCAGAAAACACAGGACUACCAGACUUUAUAAUCAAUCAGCUAGAGAUAAUGCAAAGAUUUCCCACUAUCCCUUGGACAAACCACUUACAAAAAUGGUCUUGUAUUUUUGAAUAGAAAUUGGACUUGAAAGAGAUGUGGCAUGAAGGUACUUAAUAGUCUUUAUGCACUAUAAAGAGUUUCAGUGGUGGGAAUAAUUUUGGUUCAUUGGUGCUUGCUGUUGUUUUCAACAGGGAGCCCAAGGGGGCUUUUUAUGAGGCCUGUGAAAAAUUACCUGUGAAAAUUCAGGGAGUUUUGAUUUACUUUGUAAAGCUCUGCUCUUCCACUGGGACAAAAAAAGAAAACCAGGAGCCUGUAAACCGGUACAGAAGUAUACAUUUGUUCUGUGACUGCAUACCAAUACCUCUGUGGUCAAGCAUGUGCGUUUGUCCAUUAUGGUUUUAUUCAUCUUUUGAGUUCUCAGGUAAAUUUCUCAGUGAUCUGAAUUCCUGGGAUGCCAACAAAAGAAAACUCAAAUUUAUUUAAGGCUUUAUAAAGGUAUAUAUAGGGUUUAAAUAGAUAUAUAAAUUAAGAAACAAAAUGGAAUGAUAAUGAUUUUAAAUAAAUACAAGCAAACAAACAAACAAACAAAAAAACAAUCCCCAAACUGAACAAGCUGUGUUUCAUUUUCUUGUCUAAUUAAAUUUUUUGAGAAGUUCCUUUUUGAAAAGCAUAUGUGACGCAGACUUCCUGGUCAUUUGGGAAUGAGUUAGAUAUGUGUCUGCAUAUUAUUCAAAUUCCAGCUGAUUAAGACACUGCAUAUACCAGAAGUUUCCUGUGAUAUUUGUAUGGUUUAUCGUCAACAGCAAAGGUAGCUUGGUACUUUCAGACAAAAUGAUUUUCAUCUGAAAACACAUCUGUUUGUCUAAGCCAAAACUUGGUAGGAAGUGGAUGAAAUAAGAUUUCAAAACACUGAAAACCUAAAUUUAAUAAAAACAAACUUUUAACACUUGAAAGAUUUUGUUUUCUCAAAAAUGGCUUUUAGUUACAAAAUAUACACUAAUUCUAGUACAAUCCAAAUGUUCUUAGAUAACCUAAAAGAAAUAUUGCCAUUGACUCUUUUGACAUUAUCAUUAUUUUCAGUUCCAAAACUUUGUCGAGGUUUUAAUUUCUAAUAUCUUUUUUUUUCACAGUUCAAGAAAGGGAUCUUUUCUUGAUGGGAAACAGUCUAAAUCCAGUCCUAAUUCAGUCCCUUAUGUCACACAGAACUUGGUAGAGCUCGGUAGAGGGGAAUAAAGGAGACCCACAUAAGAACCUCAGGAAAAAAAUAAUUGUUCUACUUUCCCUUUACAUCUGUUCCCUAGCCUUUAAUCAUUCAUUAUCAGCUGUAGUUCUGGUAUGAUUAUUAUCAGGUAUCCAUUCUAGAAAGUAAAACAUAAUGGUAAUGAAUAACAUUGAUCUACUGUUUAAGCAAAUUUUCACAAUUCUCUACUCAGUGACUAAAAGAAUACAAAACUUUUUCCAUUCCUUCAAGCAGGGUUAUUUAUUUUAUAUGUUUUAGAGAAAUGUUUACAAAUUAAUCCUUUUUUACAAAUGGAAAAAUUUUGCAUGUUUGUGUCUCUCUUCCAUGUGAUAAUGAAAAUAAACCUUUUGUUAUUUUGUAGUUGUUCUUAUUUCAAGAUAACACAGAAAGAAACCUAGCAUGUUGACUAUGGUUCAUUAGGGAACAACAGAAAAGUUCUCUCUCAUUCUAUGUCUUGAAAAAAUACUGGCUUACUUCAAGUUAUAAUGUAUGCUAAAUGACUACAGUUCUGCUUCAAUGGUUGAAAAUGCAAAAAUUAUUUGUAUGUUAUUGCAUUUUAUUUCAAAGCAAUCUUUUCUUAUUGAUUAUAAGUUUACUUUUUAGUUUAGUUAGAUGACCUAGAAAUUCUAGUGACUGAAAGUGGACAGUUGGAAGUGAGAUAUGAAGUCUCAAGCUUCCACUGGGAAAAUAUGUAGAAAAAAGAAUGAUUAGGGAUGUUUUGUUGAGGAUAUGGGAAAAAGAGAACAGAAGAUUUCUGUCCUUCUUGGAAAAGAGCACUGUGAGAAUUUCUGACAGCUGAAAUUGAAUGAGACAGAAAAAGUUUGAAAUUAAGAGUAUUACUGAAUUUGGUCAAGGAAUUCAUUCGUGGAUAAACAUGGAUCUCUUAAAAGGUCCUAAAACUUCAAUGGACAUGAGAUCUGGUUACAUUGAAGCAAAUGAUGAACCUCCUGAAAGCAUCAUGUCACUGAGUUGUUUGUCAGAUAGAAGAACAUCUGAAGGCCCUUGAAAAGGAAAGUCACCAGACAGCAGCUCAGUCAUAACUUCAUUGUUACCUGAGAGAAUUUUGAGGUGACACUCAAGUUAGGAAAUAUUGGGUUUAACUGUAAAUAACUCUUCCAGCAUUUCAUUAAAGAAGGAGUUGACAAUUGAACUUUACAGUGUUCACUUGGAGGUGCAAGCAGUGGGACAACUCCUCCUUGCCUGACUCAGAUUCAGAGAGGCUUUGGGUUGCCCCAGGCCCAAGAAAGCCAAAGGCCAUAUACUGCUAUCCGUGAGCUCAUUGAAAAAGGUGAUUUCCUCAAGGCAGAAUUUACAGUUCUGCUGUGUUGGCCAACAUGGUACACAUGUUGGAUAGAUCAUUGGCUGCUGUGACUUGUCAUAGUUCUGUGGAAUUUGGUGAAGUCUGAGCAAUCCAUACAAUGUGAGCAUUUCACCUUUAUAAGAAGUAUCAAAGAACAUUUUACAUUCAGUUCUUUUUCAUGACAGGGCUGACUUGACCGAGAUGUUUAUGUAAGGUGUGUGUAACUACAGAACUAAUUCAAGUAGGUUUGCUUUUUUGUUUGUUUAAUAAGCUAGAAGUUCUAUGAUUUUUACG
Molecule: long non-coding RNA, 6363 nt
Organism: Meleagris gallopavo (turkey)
Lineage: Eukaryota; Metazoa; Chordata; Aves; Galliformes; Phasianidae
Source: RefSeq, a predicted model, not a curated record